RNAcentral lists this long non-coding RNA (660 nucleotides) under Homo sapiens (human). RNAcentral's name for it is "HSALNT0350660". Lineage: Eukaryota; Metazoa; Chordata; Mammalia; Primates; Hominidae. The record is from RNAcentral.
GGUGCCCUGGUCGCGUGUCUUCCGAACUCUGCUGCUUCGCCCCGGCAAGAGCACUUCCUUCCGCGGCUGCUAAAACUGGUGCGCGGGUUCCCAACUUCGCAGAAGAGCUUCAUCGGCCCCCCGCUAGAGACCUCAGACCGCAGCCAUCGACGCCUCGCCUCGGGGAUCUGUCCCCACCCUCGGGGCCAGCUCACCAUGAGUCAGGCCCUGUGCUAGGUGCUGGGAUGAAGCAGUGACUGACACAGGCCUGGACCUGUCCUUGGGAAGAGUGCGUCUGUGACACAGAUACUGUGCCAUGUGGCAAAACUUGAAUGGAGACAUCAGCUCUUUGUGGGUCUCAAGUCUACUGGCUUUCAAUCAGCUCUUCUGCUUGACAGCUGCAGGUCUUGGGACUGCCCAGCCCCCAUAACCCUGUGAGUGCAUUCCUGAUAAUAACCCUCUUUCUCUUGUCCUCCCCCACCCCACAUCAUUGGUUCUGUUUCUCUGGAGAACCAUAAUACAUCAUUUACUAAUCAGGAAAUAGAUUCAGAGACAUUAAUAACUCAUCCAACCUCACAGUUAACUGUAGAGUUGGGCUUGAAAUUCCAAGGUCGAUUUUCUUAGCCAAUACACCAUGCUACAUAUAUGUAUGUAAAAAUAAAAACGCUUGUGAACUGAAAA